Molecule: ribosomal RNA, 31 nt
Filed under: Mutisia speciosa
Lineage: Eukaryota; Viridiplantae; Streptophyta; Magnoliopsida; Asterales; Asteraceae
Description: partial 18S ribosomal RNA
Source: RNAcentral
AUGAAUGCUACCUGGUUGAUCCUGCCAGUAG